This 106-nucleotide unclassified non-coding RNA is filed under the name soil metagenome. RNAcentral describes it as "partial internal transcribed spacer 1". The record is from RNAcentral.
GUGAACGCCCUCACGGGCUUAUACUAUUCCAAACCUCUGUGAACCGUGCCCUUCGGGGCUAUUUCACAAACAUGGUGUAAUGAACGUCAUAUAUCAUAACAAAACA